AGAGUUUGAUCCUGGCUCAGAUUGAACGCUGGCGGCAGGCUUAACACAUGCAAGUCGAGCGGGGAAAGGUAGCUUGCUACUUAACCUAGCGGCGGACGGGUGAGUAAUGCUUAGGAAUCUGCCUAUUAGUGGGGGACAACAUCUCGAAAGGGAUGCUAAUACCGCAUACGUCCUACGGGAGAAAGCAGGGGACCUUCGGGCCUUGCGCUAAUGGAUGAGCCUAAGUCGGAUUAGCUAGUUGGUGGGGUAAAGGCCUACC
RNAcentral lists this ribosomal RNA (259 nucleotides) under uncultured bacterium. Its description in RNAcentral is "partial 16S ribosomal RNA". It matches the Rfam family "Bacterial small subunit ribosomal RNA", at positions 8 to 269 of the family's 1533-position model. The record is from RNAcentral.